RNAcentral lists this ribosomal RNA (360 nucleotides) under Escherichia coli. RNAcentral describes it as "partial 23S ribosomal RNA". It matches the Rfam family "Bacterial large subunit ribosomal RNA", at positions 1382 to 1744 of the family's 2925-position model. The record is from RNAcentral. Lineage: Bacteria; Pseudomonadati; Pseudomonadota; Gammaproteobacteria; Enterobacterales; Enterobacteriaceae.
AGUCGACCCCUAAGGCGAGGCCGAAAGGCGUAGUCGAUGGGAAACAGGUUAAUAUUCCUGUACUUGGUGUUACUGCGAAGGGGGGACGGAGAAGGCUAUGUUGGCCGGGCGACGGUUGUCCCGGUUUAAGCGUGUAGGCUGGUUUUCCAGGCAAAUCCGGAAAAUCAAGGCUGAGGCGUGAUGACGAGGCACUACGGUGCUGAAGCAACAAAUGCCCUGCUUCCAGGAAAAGCCUCUAAGCAUCAGGUAACAUCAAAUCGUACCCCAAACCGACACAGGUGGUCAGGUAGAGAAUACCAAGGCGCUUGAGAGAACUCGGGUGAAGGAACUAGGCAAAAUGGUGCCGUAACUUCGGGAGAA